RNAcentral lists this ribosomal RNA (253 nucleotides) under uncultured bacterium. RNAcentral's name for it is "partial 16S ribosomal RNA". It matches the Rfam family "Bacterial small subunit ribosomal RNA", at positions 524 to 776 of the family's 1533-position model. The record is from RNAcentral.
UACGUAGGUGGCAAGCGUUGUCCGGAUUUAUUGGGUUUAAAGGGUGCGUAGGCGGCAUUUUAAGUCAGUGGUGAAAUACUUCAGCUCAACUGGAGAGGUGCCAUUGAUACUGGGAUGCUUGAGUACUGAUGAGGUAGGCGGAAUGGACGGUGUAGCGGCGAAAUGCUUAGAUAUCGUCCAGAACACCGAUAGCGAAGGCAGCUUACUAAGGAGUAACUGACGCUGAGGCACGAAAGUGUGGGGAUCAAACAGG